RNAcentral lists this ribosomal RNA (234 nucleotides) under uncultured bacterium. Its description in RNAcentral is "partial 16S ribosomal RNA". It matches the Rfam family "Bacterial small subunit ribosomal RNA", at positions 1267 to 1500 of the family's 1533-position model. The record is from RNAcentral.
GCCAACCACNGAAAAGCCANCUCAGUUCGGAUUGUAGUCUGNAACCCGACUACAUGAAGCUGGAAUCGCUAGUAAUCGCAGAUCAGAAUGCUGCGGUGAAUACGUUCCCGGGUCUUGUACACACCGCCCGUCACACCAUGGGAGUUGGAAAUGCCCGAAGCCAGUGACCCAACCGUAAGGAGGGAGCUGUCGAAGGUGGAGCCGAUGACUGGGGUGAAGUCGUAACAAGGUAUC